RNAcentral lists this ribosomal RNA (514 nucleotides) under uncultured bacterium. RNAcentral describes it as "bacterial SSU rRNA". It matches the Rfam family "Bacterial small subunit ribosomal RNA", at positions 15 to 518 of the family's 1533-position model. The record is from RNAcentral.
GAUCCUGGCUUAGGAUGAACGCUAGCGACAGGCUUAACACAUGCAAGUCGAGGGGCAGCAUAAAAGUAGCAAUACUUUGGUGGCGACCGGCGCACGGGUGAGUAACGCGUAUGCAACCUACCUAUCAGAGGGGAAUAACCCGGCGAAAGUCGGACUAAUACCGCAUAAAACAGGGGCACCGCAUGGUGAUAUUUGUUAAAGAAAUUCGCUGAUAGAUGGGCAUGCGUUCCAUUAGGUAGUUGGUGAGGUAACGGCUCACCAAGCCGACGAUGGAUAGGGGAACUGAGAGGUUGGUCCCCCACACUGGUACUGAGACACGGACCAGACUCCUACGGGAGGCAGCAGUGAGGAAUAUUGGUCAAUGGGCGGGAGCCUGAACCAGCCAAGUCGCGUGGAAAAGGAAGAAGGAUCUAUGGUUCGUAAACUUCUUUUGCAGGGGAAUAAAGUGCAGGACGUGUCCUGUUUUGUAUGUACCCUGAGAAUAAGGAUCGGCUAACUCCGUGCCAGCAGCUGC